UAGGGAAUAUUGCACAAUGGAGGAAACUCUGAUGCAGCGACGCCGCGUGAGUGAUGAAGGACUUCGGUUCGUAAAGCUCUGUUGCAAGGGAAAACAAAAUGAUUGUACCUUGUGAGGAAGGGUCGGCUAACUUCGUGCCAGCAGCCGCGGUAAGACGAGGGACCCUAGCGUUGUUCGGAAUCAUUGGGCGUAAAGCGGGUGUAGGUGGCUUUAUAAGUCAGAUGUGAAAGCCCUGGGCUUAACCCAGGAAGUGCAUUUGAUACUGCAAAGCUUGAGUGCUGG
Molecule: ribosomal RNA, 282 nt
Filed under: uncultured Bdellovibrio sp.
Lineage: Bacteria; Pseudomonadati; Bdellovibrionota; Bdellovibrionia; Bdellovibrionales; Pseudobdellovibrionaceae
Description: partial 16S ribosomal RNA
Rfam family: Bacterial small subunit ribosomal RNA
Source: RNAcentral